GGCAGUUCUCGGGUGACACACCCCAGAAUCGGGCUCCCUUCUCUCUGGUUCCGGGUGCAUCACCCGAGAACUGCA
Non-coding RNA from Myotis brandtii (Brandt's bat), 75 nucleotides. The record is from Rfam. Lineage: Eukaryota; Metazoa; Chordata; Mammalia; Chiroptera; Vespertilionidae.